CCAGGCCUUGACAUCCAAUGAACUUUCUAGAGAUAGAUUGGUGCCUUCGGGAACAUUGAGACAGGUGCUUGCAUGGCUGUCGUCAGCUCGUGUCGUGAGAUGUUGGGUUAAGUCCCGUAACGAGCGCAACCCUUGUCCUUAGUUACCAGCACGUAAUGGUGGGCNCUCUAAGGAGACUGCCGGUGNCAAACCGGAGGAAGGUGGGGAUGACGUCAAGUCAUCAUGACCCUUACGGCCUGGGCUACACACGUUCUACAAUGCUCGGUACAGAGGGUUGCCAAGCCGCGAGGUGGAGCUAAUCCCAGAAAACCCAUCGUAGUCCGGAUCGCAGUCUGCAACUCUCCUGCUUGAAGUCUCACUCGCUAGUA
RNAcentral lists this ribosomal RNA (368 nucleotides) under uncultured Pseudomonadales bacterium. RNAcentral's name for it is "bacterial SSU rRNA". It matches the Rfam family "Bacterial small subunit ribosomal RNA", at positions 974 to 1340 of the family's 1533-position model. Lineage: Bacteria; Pseudomonadati; Pseudomonadota; Gammaproteobacteria; Pseudomonadales. The record is from RNAcentral.